UACGUAGGGGGCAAGCGUUAUCCGGAAUUACUGGGUGUAAAGGGAGCGUAGACGGUGAUGCAAGUCUGGAGUGAAAGGCGGGGGCCCAACCCCGGACUGCUCUGGAAACUGUGUAACUUGAGUGCAGGAGAGGUAAGCGGAAUUCCUAGUGUAGCGGUGAAAUGCGUAGAUAUUAGGAGGAACACCAGUGGCGAAAGCGGCUUACUGGGCUGUAACUGACGUUGAGGCUCGAAAGCGUGGGGAGCAAACAG
This 251-nucleotide ribosomal RNA is filed under the name uncultured bacterium. Its description in RNAcentral is "partial 16S ribosomal RNA". It matches the Rfam family "Bacterial small subunit ribosomal RNA", at positions 524 to 775 of the family's 1533-position model. The record is from RNAcentral.